UUAUCAUUUAGAGGAAGGAGAAGUCGUAACAAGGUUUCCGUAGGUGAACCUGCUAUCCUUUUGGGAUGCCUGGUCGGGGGCGGAUAUUGGUCUCCUGUUCCUCACUGAGCGGUUGGCCAAAAUAAGAGUCUCUUUUAACGGGCGCACGACAAGUGGYGGUUGACAAAACCCGGAAUCGUGUUUUGUGUCUCAUCAAAAGAGUACAUCUUAAUAGACCCAACGCGUUGUCUUAGACUACGCUUCGACCGCGACCCCAGGUCAGGCGGGACUACCCGCUGAGUUUAAGCAUACCA
This 293-nucleotide unclassified non-coding RNA is filed under the name Psiadia laurifolia. RNAcentral describes it as "sequence contains 18S rRNA gene, ITS1, 5.8S rRNA gene, ITS2 and 28S rRNA gene". Lineage: Eukaryota; Viridiplantae; Streptophyta; Magnoliopsida; Asterales; Asteraceae. The record is from RNAcentral.